UACAGGGGGGGCAAGCGUUGUUCGGAAUUACUGGGCGUAAAGGGUCUGUAGGUGGCCAACUAAGUCAAACGUGAAAUCCCUCAGCUUAACUGGGGAACUGCGUCUGAUACUGGAUGGCUCGAGUGUGGGAGAGGAAUGCGGAAUUCCAGGUGUAGCGGUGAAAUGCGUAGAUAUCUGGAGGAACACCGGUGGCGAAGGCAGCUCACUACGGGUAUAUUGACACUGAGGCACGAAAGCGUGGGGAUCAAACAGG
RNAcentral lists this ribosomal RNA (253 nucleotides) under uncultured bacterium. RNAcentral describes it as "partial 16S ribosomal RNA". It matches the Rfam family "Bacterial small subunit ribosomal RNA", at positions 524 to 776 of the family's 1533-position model. The record is from RNAcentral.